CUGGACGUGUGGGCGCAGCCCUACCCCUUAGGCUCUGAAAUUCGGGGUUACAGUCUUGGGUUCUGCAUGCAUGUCCUUGGUUCCGGCACCCGAACUAUGCCCACACCGGCCGGCUGGAACCUUUGGAAGAACUGAAGGAUUCCUGGGCUCCAGCCUACCUAGGUCUGCAGGCAGCGAUGGCGUACCAGCACCCUCUCUCCGUCUCCGCCCACCCCAGUCUCCCCGACGCCCCGCGGCUCUGUGCUGGGGGCUGAGGGGGCUCAUCCUGACGCCCGCACCCCGGAGGCUCCCCCUGCCUCCCCCCAGGCUCCCCACCCCGCUCCUCCGCUGAGCGGCGGCGGAGAUGGAUGCGACCUCCCCCGGGGAUCGCCGGACUCGCCGGACCGCAGCAGCAGCGCGGAGGAGAGGGGUAGCCGAGCACCAGGGAGGGUGUGACAGUUUCUCUGGAGAGCUGGGAAAAGAAAUCCAACAACAGUGAGUUAGUGGCCUCAGAGGUUCCUCUUCCUAAAAUCACAAUAGCCUGGAGGCAGGCAUUCCAAGGCUGCAUGGCAGGUUUUCAUGGACUAUAUGUCAUCAUUGGCUCUACGCUCUUUAGUCAACUAAGAUUCACUUCACAGGCAAGCGUCACAGGGCCUCCCACUGCCUCUGUUUACUGAGAUGGGCUGUCAUGAAACAUAACUUCAGAAGGAAAAGCUGGGAAGAACUACACUGAAGAUACCUUCUUCAAAAACGAACUAUUUGAAAAAUUUCAAAAUAAAUGCAGUUCAAUGCUGAAAGCUAUUAACAUCUCUGCCACAAGUUGUAAACAUGCCCCAUUUUAAUGUGAUGAAAUAAUGCCUAGAAUACAAACAAUUUUUAAAUGGUACAUUCACAAAUGUUUUGUAAUACCAUGAUAAUGUUUUCAUAAUAACAUAAUGUAACUUAGCAGAGAUGAGCCAAAUAUA
This is a long non-coding RNA of Pipistrellus kuhlii (Kuhl's pipistrelle), 944 nucleotides long. RefSeq lists it as uncharacterized. The transcript has 4 exons. The record is from RefSeq and is a predicted model, not a curated record. NCBI's taxonomy places the organism in Eukaryota, Metazoa, Chordata, Mammalia, Chiroptera, Vespertilionidae.